This 450-nucleotide ribosomal RNA is filed under the name uncultured bacterium. Its description in RNAcentral is "partial 16S ribosomal RNA". It matches the Rfam family "Bacterial small subunit ribosomal RNA", at positions 29 to 523 of the family's 1533-position model. The record is from RNAcentral.
AGCGAACGCUGGCGGCAGGCUUAACACAUGCAAGUCGAACGCAUCCUUCGGGAUGAGUGGCAGACGGGUGAGUAACGCGUGGGAACGUGCCCUCCGGUUCGGGAUAACCCAGGGAAACUUGGGCUAAUACCGGAUACGUGCUUAUGGCAGAAAGGUUUACUGCCGGAGGAUCGGCCCGCGUCUGAUUAGAUAGUUGGUGGGGUAACGGCCUACCGAGGCUGCGAUCAGUAGCUGGUCUGAGAGGAUGAUCAGCCACACUGGGACUGAGACACGGCCCAGACUCCUACGGGAGGCAGCAGUGGGGAAUAUUGGACAAUGGGCGCAAGCCUGAUCCAGCCAUGCCGCGUGAGUGAUGAAGGCCUUAGGGUUGUAAAGCUCUUUUACCCGGGACGAUAAUGACGGUACCGGGAGAAUAAGCCCCGGCUAACUUCGUGCCAGCCGCCGCGGUAA